This 454-nucleotide ribosomal RNA is filed under the name uncultured Marinilabiliaceae bacterium. Its description in RNAcentral is "partial 16S ribosomal RNA". It matches the Rfam family "Bacterial small subunit ribosomal RNA", at positions 341 to 792 of the family's 1533-position model. The record is from RNAcentral. Lineage: Bacteria; Pseudomonadati; Bacteroidota; Bacteroidia; Marinilabiliales; Marinilabiliaceae.
ACGGAAGGCAGCAGUGAGGAAUAUUGGUCAAUGGGCGUAAGCCUGAACCAGCCAAGUCGCGUGCGGGAGGAAGGCCCUACGGGUCGUAAACCGCUUUUGUACGGGGAUAAAGUCACCCACGUGUGGGUGUUUGUAGGUACCGUAAGAAUAAGGAUCGGCUAACUCCGUGCCAGCAGCCGCGGUAAUACGGAGGAUCCGAGCGUUAUCCGGAUUUAUUGGGUUUAAAGGGUGCGCAGGCGGGCUGCUAAGUCAGCGGUGAAAUGUCAGGGCUCAACCUUGGAACUGCCGGAGAUACUGGCGGCCUUGAGAGUGGCGGAGGUAGACGGAAUGUGUGGUGUAGCGGUGAAAUGCAUAGAUAUAACGCAGAACACCGAUUGCGAAGGCAGGAUACCAUACCAUAACUGACGCUGAGGCACGAAAGCGUGGGGAUCGAACAGGAUUAGAUACCCUGGUA